RNAcentral lists this ribosomal RNA (484 nucleotides) under uncultured bacterium. RNAcentral's name for it is "partial 16S ribosomal RNA". It matches the Rfam family "Bacterial small subunit ribosomal RNA", at positions 30 to 507 of the family's 1533-position model. The record is from RNAcentral.
AUUGAACGCUGGCGGCAGGCCUAACACAUGCAAGUCGAGCGGCUGCAGGGAGAUUGCUCCUGCAUUCAGCUGCCGACGGGUGAGUGAUGCCUAAGAAUCUGCCUGUUUGUGGUUGAUAACGUCCGGACACGGGCGCUCAUACGCCAUUCGUCCUGACGACCAACGUGUGGGAUCUUCGGACCUCCAGCUAUCAGAUGAUCCUAGGUCGGAUUAGCUAGUUGGUGGGGUAAAGGCCUACCAAGGCGACGAUCCGUCACUGGUCUGAGAGGAUGAUCAGCCACACUGGAACUGAGACACGGUCCAGACUCCUACGGGAGGCAGCAGUGGGGAAUAUUGGACAAUGGGCGAAAGCCUGAUCCAGCCAUGCCGCGUGUGUGAAGAAGGUCUUCGGAUUGUAAAGCCCUUUUGGUGGGGAGGAAAAGCAGUAAGUUAAUACCUUGCUGUUUUGACGGUACCAAAAGAAUAAGCACCGGCUAACUUCGUG